AUGGGAGAAUGUGUCUGACUCACAACGAAGGAAUGAAGCAUGCCGGGCCUCAUCUCGGACCUGCACACUGCCCCUCAUUAUGUUCAUGAUCGGGAAAUGGAUAAAGAGUGGCCAGAAGGUGAAAAAGAAGAGAUGGCCCCCUGAAAGGGACAUCCACAUUUAUUUGAGCACCUACCAGGAUACCUGCUUUGGGAGCCUUCUGCUGCUGCGUGAGAUCCCUGGCUACCCUGGAGAGACAUCAGACAACAAGUGAGAUGCCCAAGAGCCCUAGCUGUCUUUGUCUUUGCAGCCCAAGCUCCAGACAUGUACUGAAGAAGCUUUAAGGAUAAAUUCAGUCCCAACUACUCCCUGGCUACAACUAUGAGACAGACCCUCCCAAGUCAGAACUGCCUAGCCAAGCUCAGGCAACUCCAAGAUUUAAGAGCAAAAUAAAAG
Molecule: long non-coding RNA, 435 nt
Filed under: Homo sapiens (human)
Lineage: Eukaryota; Metazoa; Chordata; Mammalia; Primates; Hominidae
Description: HSALNT0365048
Source: RNAcentral